Argiope bruennichi is the source of this 1451-nucleotide long non-coding RNA. RefSeq lists it as uncharacterized. The record is from RefSeq and is a predicted model, not a curated record. The transcript has 5 exons. Lineage: Eukaryota; Metazoa; Arthropoda; Arachnida; Araneae; Araneidae.
GAUCCUCCAUUGCUUCCUCUGUUGAAUAGAUUUGGACUAUACAAUUACCCACACUGCCAAGUUUGUAAUCUUGAAAAUAACAUUGAACAUAUCAUCUUGUUUUGUUCCAAAUACGCAAAUCAUAAGUCAAAUCUUUACGCAAAACUUAAUAUUGAAUUUCAUUCUUGUUCUUCCUUCAAGACGUUUAUUCAAAAACCUGUUUCUAAUAAGAAGUAUCUCCGGAUUCUUCUCCAAUCUCUGAAGUUUCUUAACAUUUAUUGAAUGAACUCAUUUGGAAUUAGGGGAUAACGGCUUCUGUUGACAAAAAUCCCAUUCUCAUCCCAUUUCUAUCAAUCAAUCUGUGGGGGAUAACAUCAGCGUCUCGCAAAGAAUUACAAUUCGGAAAGAUCUAGAUAUUCUGACACCACAACAACAUGUUUUACAACAUGAUGAUUCAACGUCUGUAAAUAUGCUGGUGAAGAAAAUGAGAAAUGAUCAUGAUAAUCCUCUAUUAGUUUAUAAACUUGGUAAUAUUUUGUCAGACUUCCCCUCUGUGAAGGAAAAAGAUUUCCUCUUAAGAAUGACGUAUGGUGCAUAAGAGAAACUCUGCGAACUGCAUAGAAACAGUUGUAUCAUGAUGGAUUUCACGCAUGGACCAAUUCAAUAUGCAUUUGAACUGUUAGCAAUAAUGAUUUAUGAUGAAAAUCCUGAAGGUUUACCAAUAGCCACUACAUAUUCAUUAUAUAUGACAAAAAAUAUAUAUAUAAAUAUUACUGCAGUAUCAGAAGCAAUAAAGGAAAAAGAAAUUGAGACAAUGAAAAUAAUCUUGUAAUAUUCGAAAAUGACCCAAGAGAAAAGCUGGAAACUGAAAAAUCUGUUAUAAUAUCUCAUUUACAAAAUGAAUGUAGUAAGGAUUUCUAAAGAUAUAUAUGAUGGAGAUACUCAUGAACACAGAAAUGAAGGUUCAAAAUAGUGAUGUUCUUAUCCAGAUGAAUUUGAAGACUGUCAAAAAUAAUUUAUUUGAAGAUGCCAUCAGAGUGUUACUAUGUUCAUUUUAGGGUAUAUAUGAUGGAGAUACUCAUGAACGCAGAAAUGAAGUUUCAAAAUAGUGAUAUUCUUAUCCAGAGGAAUUUGAAGACUGUCAAAAAUAAUUUAUUUGAAGAUGCCAUCAGAGUGUUACUAUGUUCAUUUUAGGGAGCAGAUGGAUUUACAGCAAAGGGGAACAUUAAAUUGCAGCAUGCCUAAGAGACAAUCAUUGCAGCAAUGGAGAAAAAUUUUGAAAUGCUGACCACCAAAAGAAUCUAGGCAAAUGAUUUCAGAUUGGAGUCAUGCUGCUCUGUUUCCUUAGCAGACAAAAUUAUUCUAAAACCUACUGAUGGUCUGUGGAAAAAAGUAUUUUAAUUCAUAAAAACAUGGAUUAUAUUUUUAAUUCAAUUGUAUUAUAGUUUAAUAAAUACUGUUUUUAAUUUUAA